RNAcentral lists this signal recognition particle RNA (97 nucleotides) under Lysobacterales bacterium. RNAcentral describes it as "signal recognition particle sRNA small type". It matches the Rfam family "Bacterial small signal recognition particle RNA". From Rfam's summary of the family: The signal recognition particle (SRP) is a universally conserved ribonucleoprotein involved in the co-translational targeting of proteins to membranes. The record is from RNAcentral. Lineage: Bacteria; Pseudomonadati; Pseudomonadota; Gammaproteobacteria; Lysobacterales.
UGUCGGUCACCCCGCAGCGAUGAUUUGUGAACCCCGUCAGGCCCGGAAGGGAGCAGCGGCAGCAAUGAAAUCGGGUGCCGGGGAACGGCGGGCAGGG